CCGGCACGGGUGAGUAACACGUAUCCAACCUGCCGUCUACUCUUGGCCAGCCUUCUGAAAGGAAGAUUAAUCCAGGAUGGCAUCAUGAGUUCACAUGUCCGCAUGAUUAAAGGUAUUUUCCGGUAGACGAUGGGGAUGCGUUCCAUUAGAUAGUAGGCGGGGUAACGGCCCACCAAGGCGACGAUCAGUAGGGGUUCUGAGAGGAAGGUCCCCCACAUUGGAACUGAGACACGGUCCAA
RNAcentral lists this ribosomal RNA (239 nucleotides) under uncultured bacterium. Its description in RNAcentral is "partial 16S ribosomal RNA". It matches the Rfam family "Bacterial small subunit ribosomal RNA", at positions 100 to 334 of the family's 1533-position model. The record is from RNAcentral.